UGGGGAAUAUUGGACAAUGGGCGCAAGCCUGAUCCAGCCAUGCCGCGUGAGUGACGAAGGCCUUAGGGUUGUAAAACUCUUUUGGCAGGGACGAUAAUGACGGUACCUGCAGAAUAAGCUCCGGCUAACUUCGUGCCAGCAGCCGCGGUAAUACGAAGGGAGCUAGCGUUGUUCGGAAUCACUGGGCGUAAAGCGCACGUAGGCGGACUGAUCAGUUGGGGGUGAAAUCCCAGGGCUCAACCCCGGAACGGCCUUCGAGACUGGGCAGCUCGAGACCGGAAGAGGAGGGUGGAAUACCCAGUGUAGAGGUGAAAUUCGUAGAUAUUGGGUGGAACACCAGUGGCGAAAGCGGCUCUCUGGUCCGGAUCUGACGCUGAGGCGCGAAAGCGUGGGGAGCAAACAGGAUUAGAUACCCGGGUAGUCC
RNAcentral lists this ribosomal RNA (424 nucleotides) under uncultured prokaryote. RNAcentral describes it as "bacterial SSU rRNA". It matches the Rfam family "Bacterial small subunit ribosomal RNA", at positions 355 to 796 of the family's 1533-position model. The record is from RNAcentral.